RNAcentral lists this ribosomal RNA (263 nucleotides) under Pieris rapae (cabbage white). RNAcentral's name for it is "partial 12S ribosomal RNA". Lineage: Eukaryota; Metazoa; Arthropoda; Insecta; Lepidoptera; Pieridae. The record is from RNAcentral.
AAUAAAAUAAUUAUGUUUUUAUAAUUUUAAUAUAAAUUUAUUUUACAUAUAAAUUUUUGUAUAUAAUUUUAAUUAUUUUGAUAAUAAUUAAUAAAAUUUAGUAGUAAUUUAUAUUAAAAAUUUAAGAAAUUAAGAUUUAGUAAUAUUAAAAUUAAUAACUAAUUUUGUGCCAGCAGUUGCGGUUAAACGAAAAAUUAAAUUAAAAUUUUUUAGUUUAUAAUAAAUAAUAAUUUUAUUAAAAUAAAUAUUAAAUUAUUAAGUGA